GCAGUGGGGAAUAUUGGACAAUGGGCGCAAGCCUGAUCCAGCCAUGCCGCGUGAGUGAUGAAGGUCUUAGGAUUGUAAAGCUCUUUCACCGGGGACGAUAAUGACGGUACCCGGAGAAGAAGCCCCGGCUAACUUCGUGCCAGCAGCCGCGGUAAUACGAAGGGGGCUAGCGUUGUUCGGAAUUACUGGGCGUAAAGCGCACGUAGGCGGACAUUUAAGUCAGGGGUGAAAUCCCGGGGCUCAACCCCGGAACUGCCUUUGAUACUGGGUGUCUUGAGUGUGGUAGAGGUGAGUGGAAUUGCGAGUGUAGAGGUGAAAUUCGUAGAUAUUCGCAGGAACACCAGUGGCGAAGGCGGCUCACUGGACCACAACUGACGCUGAGGUGCGAAAGCGUGGGGAGCAAACAGGAUUAGA
RNAcentral lists this ribosomal RNA (414 nucleotides) under uncultured bacterium. RNAcentral's name for it is "bacterial SSU rRNA". It matches the Rfam family "Bacterial small subunit ribosomal RNA", at positions 351 to 782 of the family's 1533-position model. The record is from RNAcentral.